RNAcentral lists this ribosomal RNA (497 nucleotides) under uncultured bacterium. RNAcentral describes it as "partial 16S ribosomal RNA". It matches the Rfam family "Bacterial small subunit ribosomal RNA", at positions 28 to 507 of the family's 1533-position model. The record is from RNAcentral.
GAUGAACGCUGGCGGCGUGCCUAAUACAUGCAAGUCGAGCGAACGGACGAGAAGCUUGCUUCUCUGAUGUUAGCGGCGGACGGGUGAGUAACACGUGGAUAACCUACCUAUAAGACUGGGAUAACUUCGGGAAACCGGAGCUAAUACCGGAUAAUAUUUUGAACCGUAUGGUUCAAAAGUGAAAGACGGUCUUGCUGUCACUUAUAGAUGGAUCCGCGCGGCAUUAGCUAGUUGGUAAGGUAACGGCUUACCAAGGCAACGAUGCAUAGCCGACCUGAGAGGGUGAUCGGCCACACUGGAACUGAGAAACGGCCCAGACUCCGACGGGAGGCAGAAGUAGGGAAUCUUCCGCAAUGGGCGAAAGCCGGACGGAGCAACGCCGCGUAAGUGAUGAAGGUCUUCGGAUCGUAAAACUCUGUUAUUAGGGAAGAACAGAUGUGUAAGUAACUGUGCACAUCUUGACGGUACCUAAUCAGAAAGCCACGGCUAACUACGUG